GCCCCUGUAGCCCAAUUGGAAGAGGUAACUCGCUUAGAACGAGGAGGUUACUGGUUCAAAUCCAGUCAGGGGCA
This 74-nucleotide transfer RNA is filed under the name Kamptonema sp. PCC 6506. RNAcentral describes it as "Oscillatoria sp. PCC 6506 tRNA". It matches the Rfam family "tRNA". From Rfam's summary of the family: Transfer RNA (tRNA) molecules are approximately 80 nucleotides in length. Their secondary structure includes four short double-helical elements and three loops (D, anti-codon, and T loops). The record is from Rfam by way of RNAcentral. RNAcentral also lists the same sequence under 2 other names. Lineage: Bacteria; Bacillati; Cyanobacteriota; Cyanophyceae; Oscillatoriales; Microcoleaceae.